This 244-nucleotide long non-coding RNA is filed under the name Glycine max (soybean). RNAcentral's name for it is "long non-coding RNA (GMAX_LNC003163)". Lineage: Eukaryota; Viridiplantae; Streptophyta; Magnoliopsida; Fabales; Fabaceae. The record is from RNAcentral.
UGAGAACACAAAAAGGAAAAACUAAUAUUAUUGAUUCUGAAAAAGUUAGUCUUUAAUACAGUUACAAAGGAGGUAUUUAUAAACCUCUAGACCUUGAAGCUAAUCACAACCUAACUAACAACUAACUAACAAAAAGUUUGUUAAACUAACUAACAGAAUUCUGUUAGUGAAAGAAAAAUAGUUAGUUGUCUAACUGUCAUGUAAUAAUUGUUUGUAAUAGUUAUUUUUAUACAUUCAUUCUAAU